Pogona vitticeps (central bearded dragon) is the source of this 1981-nucleotide long non-coding RNA. The record is from Ensembl. NCBI's taxonomy places the organism in Eukaryota, Metazoa, Chordata, Lepidosauria, Squamata, Agamidae.
GCCAGGAAAAAAAAAAACUUACAACCACCUUAAGAGAGCAUUCUUCAAGAAAUGUGUGUGCUUGCACGUGGGUGUUUAUGGCUGUUUGCACGUGUGUGUUUGUUUAUAUGUGUGCGUAGGUCUCGCUUGGGUGGCUGCCCUGUAUGUGUGUGGCUGCGCCUCCGUAAGUUGUGGGAAUUCCUUUAUUUAUUUGUUUAAAACAAUUCCCUCCCACCUUUCCCCUCACAAAAAAAAGAACGGGGGGGGGGAGGCCAAGGCGGUUUUUAUUAUUAAAAUUUAAAGGAAAAUAUUCAACAACUAAAAACAGGGAGUAUACAAAUAUUAAAACCACCACCGUGAAACCCGCCUUGGAUGAACCUGGCAAAUCCAGCCGAUAUUCGGAAGGCCGGGCCUCUUUCUGAGGGAACGAAGCGCCCCCGCCCCCCAAUUUUACCUCACACUUCUCUACCCCCAGAACACAUGUCCAAAGUCUGGAAACCACUUCCCCGCAUUUACCCGCCUUCUUCUUCCUCCUCCUGAGCGUUGAGCUCCUGCCAUUCAAGUGAAGGGCGACGGAAAAGGAGAGAGAGAGAGAGAAAACGAAAGAGAAGAGAGAGGGAAGGAUGUGCGCAUGCGCGCUCGCCUCUCAGUUGGUGCCGGAGGACAUACUCGCCAAGCCUGGGACCGGAAGUGGCGCAGGCCGAUCUAGGCUUCAAGCGUGGCGCGACUCGCUGCUCCGUCUUCCUGGGCGUGACGCAAAAAGGGACGGAAGCCGAGGAGGGUGGCGGAAAGGCUGGACGAGGGAGGCGGAAGAAGAACGUGGGGGAAGCGCCGGUGGAGGCGCAGCCGGGAUGGAAACGACAGACCGAGUCGACGCGUCGUAUACCAACAGCGUUCAAGUCUUGGAUAUGCCGAAGAAGAAGAAAAAGAAGAAAAAGAAAAGGAAAUUGGAGGCCCUUGAGAGAGAAACGGGCCAGCCGCCUGAGGAUGCCCCCCCUCUUCAUUCGCCCGUUUCUUCCGAUCCUCCCCCCUUAGUUUCUUGGCAAAUAGAUUCAGAGGAAAACCCGGUCCCUCGUAAGAAAUCUAAGAAGAAGACAGCCGAUAAAGAGAUCUCUGACUCCCAGGAUGACAGUCCUUGGAUUGCACUGGAGAAAGAGCUAAAUAGCGAGGUUAGAGUCGAUCUUGGGCACAAGAAGAAAAAGAAGAGGAAACGUCGGUCAAGCGAACAGGACGGCGUCCGUGAAAUCUGUGUCCCCGAGAAUCCAGAAGUAGCCACCCAUUUCCCUGAAGCGACUGAUGUGGAAGUUGCCGAGCAAGGAUAUGAGAGCCUUCCCUUAAAGAAAAAGAAGAAGAAAAAGAAGAAGAAGAAAGCAAAAGAAUUGUUAGCAGAGGAGGCAGAACGCAGCGAAAUCUCGAGCCUGAUGACAAACGGGAAGGCUGAUUCUGCAGGGGCGCAAAACCCUAAUCAGACUGACCACAGCGAUGCUGAAGGCAGCAUGGAGCUUUUCUCAUCCCCUCUGCUACUCCCCGAAACACAGCAGGACCCUCUUUUUGAGGAAGAGGAGAGUGGGGCGCCAGGAUCGGACCCUCCCGAUGUGGCCAACAGCUCCGUGGCGCCAAAGAAGGCGCGUAAGCGGAAAAAGAACCGGCGCAAACCACCCCGUGCCAAGGGUUCGCGCGCUAACGAAGACGACCUUGCCGCAGAGGAGAAUAACGCUCGGGAUGCGUUGAGUCCGACGUUGUGUGAGGAAAACCAUGGGUACAUUCUUGAUCCUGGAAAGGCAGGCUUGGGGAGUGGGGAAUAUAGAAUUUAUUUUUUAAUCUUUGACAUGGCAUGAUUCAGUUGUUUAAAGCAAUUCUUUUACAGUGGGACCCCCUUAUACACGGGAUCAGUUUCCACUUAUUUGAUUAUUCACGGUCUGAAAAUAUUAAAAUAUUAAAAGAAAUAUCAUAGAUAUAUCAUAGAAAUAAAUACAGUGAUACCUCGACUUAUAAACGUCUC